Non-coding RNA from Lentinula raphanica, 109 nucleotides. The record is from the annotation of a GenBank genome assembly. Lineage: Eukaryota; Fungi; Basidiomycota; Agaricomycetes; Agaricales; Omphalotaceae.
UCCUUCUUAGCUCAGUUGGUAGAGCGCGUCACUAGUAUUCAUCAAGUGUGUCGCUGUGGCUUCAGAAGAUCUAAUGACGAGGUCAGUCGUUCGAGUCGGCUAGAAGGAA